This 348-nucleotide ribosomal RNA is filed under the name Triticum aestivum (bread wheat). Its description in RNAcentral is "partial small subunit ribosomal RNA". The record is from RNAcentral. Lineage: Eukaryota; Viridiplantae; Streptophyta; Magnoliopsida; Poales; Poaceae.
AUGGUGGCGGCGGGGCCUCGGUUGCCCUGCUUCCGUGUGGGGGACCCCGGAUCUGGAGCAGCGGCUCCAUUGGCAAGGCACGGCCGGCUAGCAGCUGUGCGGGCGGUGGAUCUGGCGUCUCGGUCGCACGGGCGGCGGGAUCCGGUGGUCGUUGGCGGCCGGCGGCGGCUUCUGCGGCGGUCGGUAUGCGCGAUCUGGCGCCUCCCUUCCUCCCCUGUUCGGCGUGCGGGCCAGCCUGGUCGGGCCGCGCUUCGUCUUGGUCGCCGGUUCUGUACAGGUGGCACUGCUGGUGGCGGGGAUUUAGUUCGGGUGAAAUCCCUGACCGGCCGCGCCGACGGCAACGCCUGA